RNAcentral lists this ribosomal RNA (1343 nucleotides) under uncultured bacterium. Its description in RNAcentral is "16S ribosomal RNA". It matches the Rfam family "Bacterial small subunit ribosomal RNA", at positions 28 to 1378 of the family's 1533-position model. The record is from RNAcentral.
GACGAACGCUGGCGGCGUGCUUAACACAUGCAAGUCGAACGGAAAGGCCCUGCUUUUGUGGGGUGCUCGAGUGGCGAACGGGUGAGUAACACGUGAGUAACCUGCCCUUGACUUUGGGAUAACUUCAGGAAACUGGGGCUAAUACCGGAUAGGAGCUCCUGCUGCAUGGUGGGGGUUGGAAAGUUUCGGCGGUUGGGGAUGGACUCGCGGCUUAUCAGCUUGUUGGUGGGGUAGUGGCUUACCAAGGCUUUGACGGGUAGCCGGCCUGAGAGGGUGACCGGCCACAUUGGGACUGAGAUACGGCCCAGACUCCUACGGGAGGCAGCAGUGGGGAAUAUUGCACAAUGGGCGGAAGCCUGAUGCAGCAACGCCGCGUGCGGGAUGACGGCCUUCGGGUUGUAAACCGCUUUCGCCUGUGACGAAGCGUGAGUGACGGUAAUGGGUAAAGAAGCACCGGCUAACUACGUGCCAGCAGCCGCGGUGAUACGUAGGGUGCGAGCGUUGUCCGGAUUUAUUGGGCGUAAAGGGCUCGUAGGUGGUUGAUCGCGUCGGAAGUGUAAUCUUGGGGCUUAACCCUGAGCGUGCUUUCGAUACGGGUUGACUUGAGGAAGGUAGGGGAGAAUGGAAUUCCUGGUGGAGCGGUGGAAUGCGCAGAUAUCAGGAGGAACACCAGUGGCGAAGGCGGUUCUCUGGGCCUUUCCUGACGCUGAGGAGCGAAAGCGUGGGGAGCGAACAGGCUUAGAUACCCUGGUAGUCCACGCUGUAAACGGUGGGUACUAGGUGUGGGGUCCAUUCCACGGGUUCCGUGCCGUAGCUAACGCUUUAGGUACCCCGCCUGGGGAGUACGGCCGCAAGGCUAAAACUCAAAGGAAUUGACGGGGCCCCGCACAAGCGGCGGAGCAUGCGGAUUAAUUCGAUGCAACGCGUAGAACCUUACCUGGGUUUGACAUGGAUCGGGAGUGCUCAGAGAUGGGUGUGCCUCUUUUGGGGUCGGUUCACAGGUGGUGCAUGGCUGUCGUCAGCUCGUGUCGUGAGAUGUUGGGUUAAGUCCCGCAACGAGCGCAACCCUUGUUCACUGUUGCCAGCACGUUAUGGUGGGGACUCAGUGGAGACCGCCGGGGUCAACUCGGAGGAAGGUGGGGAUGACGUCAAGUCAUCAUGCCCCUUAUGUCCAGGGCUUCACGCAUGCUACAAUGGCUGGUACAGAGAGUGGCGAGCCUGUGAGGGUGAGCGAAUCUCGGAAAGCCGGUCUCAGUUCGGAUUAGGGUCUGCAACUCGACCUCAUGAAGUCGGAGUCGCUAGUAAUCGCAGAUCAGCAACGCUGCGGUGAAUACGUUCCCGGG